ACAGCUGGAUGAGGCCUUAGUGACCAUGUGGUCCUACAACCACUUCCCUUUUACAGUUUUAAGGAGAGAGAGAGAGAGAGAGAGAGAGAGAGAGAGAGAAAGUAACUGAUAUCAGGCCACACAGUAACCCAGGUGUGGAGCCAUGAUGAGAACCCCACCACUUUCCCAUUGGGACAGGACACAUGCUGUCUCCCUGCAUUGGCUCCUUGAUCCCUAGCCCGCUUCUGUCUUUGCCCUUAGACUCCAUCUUGGUGUCUACCUUGAUCUUCCAGUGUGAGCCUUUUCUAACCACCUGUGCUCCAAAGACUCAGCCUCCACCCAGUCAUCAUCCAGCAGAAUAAGUGCUGCAGUGGGCAGGCUUACAAUUCCUCCUUCCCUGGGUUCCAUCUGUGAUGCACUCUUCAGACAGCAUCAUCAUAAUGCUCAAUUCAACCAGGAAACAAUUGGAAAACUUCAAACAGCAUAUGUAAUAAGCAAGUACAAGAGAGAAAACUAUGAAAACAAAGAUUCCAUCAGCUUCCCAGGGAAGGGAUUUCUUAACACGUCACACAGGAGCCCUUCCAUCCAGGUAUCCAUACGUAACUAGAAGGGUUUUUAGCUCUGGAUUUUGUGAAGAAAACACAGGUAUUUGCUGAGAAUGA
Panthera uncia (snow leopard) is the source of this 641-nucleotide long non-coding RNA. RefSeq lists it as uncharacterized. The record is from RefSeq and is a predicted model, not a curated record. The transcript is spliced from 4 exons. Lineage: Eukaryota; Metazoa; Chordata; Mammalia; Carnivora; Felidae.